This 324-nucleotide ribosomal RNA is filed under the name uncultured Euglypha. RNAcentral describes it as "SSU rRNA". The stretch from base 109 to 324 matches the Rfam family "Eukaryotic small subunit ribosomal RNA", at positions 738 to 955 of the family's 1831-position model. The record is from RNAcentral. Lineage: Eukaryota; Cercozoa; Imbricatea; Euglyphida; Euglyphidae.
GAUUUCUGACUGACCGUCCUGGCCCGCUUCUUUUACGGGAGUGAGUGCCGGUACGAGUUUGUCAUCCUUCUAGAAAGCCGCGCCUACCGUUCAUUCGUGCGGGCGUGUGCGGUCUAGAUCUUUUACUUUGAAAAAAUUAGAGUGUUUAAAGCAGGCUUACGCUAUGAAUAUAUUAGCAUGGAAUAAUAAUUUAGGACUUUGGUCUUAUUUUGUUGGUUUCUAGGACUAAAGUAAUGAUUGAUAGGGAUAGUUGGGGGUGCUAGUAUUCAGCGGCCAGAGGUGAAAUUCUUGGAUUCGCUGAAGACUAACUUAUGCGAAAGCAUU